Bos indicus x Bos taurus (hybrid cattle) is the source of this 60-nucleotide microRNA precursor. Lineage: Eukaryota; Metazoa; Chordata; Mammalia; Artiodactyla; Bovidae. The record is from Ensembl.
AAAAAGUUCGUUUGGGUUUUGCUGUCACACUGUAUGGAACAACCUGGAUGAACUUUUUGG